AUAAAUAUAUUUAAUAAAUUUUAAUAGAUGUAAUAUUACGCUUGUUAGAAAAAUUAUUUAAGUUAAUAGUCUAUUAACCAUAGAAGCUAAUAUGAAAUUAAAGAAAAGCUAACAUGAAAUUAUAGAAAAGGCAAACUUAGCAGCUUGUAAACCCCACAUUUACAUAAUGAUUAUUUUUUCCCCAGUAAAGUCAUGGCCAAAAUUAAACUUAAUCCAAUUAUUAAACUUCAAUUCAAUCUUCACAGCCUACUCUUAGCCAAGACUUUACUGGAAAUUAUAAAUCUAUUGAUAUUUAAUAAGAUUUUUAACUUUUAAAAAUAAUAAAAUUAGCCAUAUUUUAAUCUUAUCAUUUUAUUUUUAAUAUUUUAAAUCUUGAAUUUUCAAUUAAAAUAUUUUAAUAUAUAAAAAUAAUAA
RNAcentral lists this unclassified non-coding RNA (414 nucleotides) under Hevea brasiliensis (rubber tree). The record is from RNAcentral. Lineage: Eukaryota; Viridiplantae; Streptophyta; Magnoliopsida; Malpighiales; Euphorbiaceae.